GGGUCUGUAGCUCAAUUGGUAGAGCGCUCGGUUCGCAUCCGCGAAGAUGUCGGUUCGAUUCCGACCAGUAUCCACCA
This 77-nucleotide transfer RNA is filed under the name Coleofasciculus sp. LEGE 07081. RNAcentral's name for it is "tRNA-Ala". It matches the Rfam family "tRNA". Rfam says of the family: Transfer RNA (tRNA) molecules are approximately 80 nucleotides in length. Lineage: Bacteria; Bacillati; Cyanobacteriota; Cyanophyceae; Coleofasciculales; Coleofasciculaceae. The record is from RNAcentral. RNAcentral also lists the same sequence under 1 other name.